AUUGAACGCUGGCGGCAGGCCUAACACAUGCAAGUCGAACGGUAACAGGAAGCAGCUUGCUGCUUCGCUGACGAGUGGCGGACGGGUGAGUAAUGUCUGGGAAGCUGCCUGAUGGAGGGGGAUAACUACUGGAAACGGUAGCUAAUACCGCAUAAUGUCGCAAGACCAAAGAGGGGGACCUUCGGGCCUCUUGCCAUCGGAUGUGCCCAGAUGGGAUUAGCUUGUUGGUGGGGUAACGGCUCACCAAGGCGACGAUCCCUAGCUGGUCUGAGAGGAUGACCAGCCACACUGGAACUGAGACACGGUCCAGACUCCUACGGGAGGCAGCAGUGGGGAAUAUUGCACAAUGGGCGCAAGCCUGAUGCAGCCAUGCCGCGUGUAUGAAGAAGGCCUUCGGGUUGCAAAGUACUUUCAGCGGGGAGGAAGGGAGUAAAGUUAAUACCUUUGCUCAUUGACGUUACCCGCAGAAGAGGCACCGGCUAACUCCGUG
Molecule: ribosomal RNA, 490 nt
Filed under: uncultured bacterium
Lineage: Bacteria
Description: partial 16S ribosomal RNA
Rfam family: Bacterial small subunit ribosomal RNA
Source: RNAcentral